Long non-coding RNA from Topomyia yanbarensis, 297 nucleotides. RefSeq lists it as uncharacterized. The transcript is spliced from 3 exons. NCBI's taxonomy places the organism in Eukaryota, Metazoa, Arthropoda, Insecta, Diptera, Culicidae. The record is from RefSeq and is a predicted model, not a curated record.
CUUUUCUACAACAAAUUCAAGUGCAUUAUUAUUUGCAACUGUUUAUCAUUAUGCGAAAAUCACGGAUGAGUUACAUUUUCCACCAAAAUCAACAAUCUGAUUAUAUUCGUAAAUUAAGAAAGAAACGAGGGAAAGUCAAACCCGCAUCUCAUAAUUGUCCAACAUCAAUAUCUACAGAUCUUUUAAUUGGAGGCAAUCCACAAAUUGCACUCGUUCAAUAUCCAAUUCAAACACAAGUCAGCGGGGAUCCUAUACAUGUGGAAUUGGAUCAUGACAUGAUAGAUCAGGUAAUCUGCC